CGCCGCGUGAGGGAUGACGGCCUAUCGGGUUGUAAACCUCUUUCAGCAGGGACGAAGCGCAAGUGACGGUACCUGCAGAAGAAGCACCGGCCAACUACGUGCCAGCAGCCGCGGUAAGACGUAGGGUGCGAGCGUUGUCCGGAUUUAUUGGGCGUAAAGAGCUCGUAGGCGGCUUGUCGCGUCGACCGUGAAAACUUGGGGCUCAACCCCAAGCCUGCGGUCGAUACGGGCAGGCUAGAGUUCGGUAGGGGAGACUGGAAUUCCUGGUGUAGCGGUGAAAUGCGCAGAUAUCAGGAGGAACACCGGUGGCGAAGGCGGGUCUCUGGGCCGAUACUGACGCUGAGGAGCGAAAGCGUGGGGAGCGAACAGGAUUAGAUACCCUGGUAGUCCACGCUGUAAACGUUGGGCGCUAGGUGUGGGGGGCCCCUCCGGUUCUCUGUGCCGCAGCUAACGCAUUAAGCGCCCCGCCUGGGGAGUACGGCCGCAAGGCUAAAACUCAAAGGAAUUGACGGGGGGCCCGCACAAGCGGCGGAGCAACGCGGAUUAAAUCGAUGCAACGCGAAGAACCUUACCUGGGUUUGACAUGGCCGCAAAACUUCCAGAGAUGGGAAGUCCUUC
RNAcentral lists this ribosomal RNA (618 nucleotides) under Micromonospora sp. Ri3Pt_4396. RNAcentral describes it as "bacterial SSU rRNA". It matches the Rfam family "Bacterial small subunit ribosomal RNA", at positions 395 to 1018 of the family's 1533-position model. Lineage: Bacteria; Bacillati; Actinomycetota; Actinomycetes; Micromonosporales; Micromonosporaceae. The record is from RNAcentral.